Molecule: non-coding RNA, 139 nt
Filed under: Myotis davidii
Lineage: Eukaryota; Metazoa; Chordata; Mammalia; Chiroptera; Vespertilionidae
Description: ODC internal ribosome entry site (IRES)
Rfam family: ODC internal ribosome entry site (IRES)
Source: Rfam by way of RNAcentral
AUUCCCGGUGCUGCACAGAGAGGACCCGUGUCCCGUGGACUGGGAGUUCCUGGAGAGCCGCCUCUGAACAGCUGGCGAUAACUUCCUAGUCCCGUUUCUUCAUUUUCCUUUGUGUUGCGCUUCGGAACAUCCAGAAACC